UGCGGAAGGAUCAUUGUCGAAACCUGCCCAGCAGAACGACCCGCGAACUUGUUUUUUAACGGACCAUGGAGCGUUGUAGUUGCCUUGAGCAGCUACGCGACCCGUGCCCGCGCUAGGCAUCGUUUGCUAUGGCACAUUAACGAACCCCGGCGCGAAAAGCGUCAAGGAAAAUAAACCAAAUGUGUGCUCUAUCCUUACUUCGGUUAACCGGAGGAAGGGUGUGAUGCCAUGUAUUAACAAUAAACGACUCUCGGCAACGGAUAUCUCGGCUCUCGCAUCGAUGAAGAACGUAGCGAAAUGCGAUACUUGGUGUGAAUUGCAGAAUCCCGUGAACCAUCGAGUCUUUGAACGCAAGUUGCGCCCGAAGCCUUGGCUUAGGGCACGUCUGCCUGGGCGUCACGCAUCGCGUCUCCCCCACAAMACCUAGUGUUGGGGAAGGAUGAUGGCUUCCCGUCCCUCACCGGGGGCGGUUGGCCUAAAAUUGGAGCCCUAGGCAUUUAGCUGUCUGGUGAUUGGUGGUGAACGAGGCCUCGGCCAAGCAAACAACCCGUCAAGCAGCCCUUUGCGCUCGUAGGACCCUUUCAUGGUGUUUUCAUGCAUCAGGAACGCUGCGACCCCAGGUCAGGCGGGGCUA
This 634-nucleotide ribosomal RNA is filed under the name Sabulina dawsonensis. Its description in RNAcentral is "eukaryotic LSU rRNA". The stretch from base 246 to 399 matches the Rfam family "5.8S ribosomal RNA". Lineage: Eukaryota; Viridiplantae; Streptophyta; Magnoliopsida; Caryophyllales; Caryophyllaceae. The record is from RNAcentral.